This 63-nucleotide transfer RNA is filed under the name Gordionus wolterstorffii. Its description in RNAcentral is "tRNA-Pro". The record is from RNAcentral. Lineage: Eukaryota; Metazoa; Nematomorpha; Gordioida; Chordodea; Parachordodidae.
UUAAAAAUAGUUUAUUUAAAAUUUAAGCUUUGGGGGCUUAGGAUACACACAUUGUUUUUUAAA